AGGAUGAACGCUGGCGGCGUGCCUAACACAUGCAAGUCGAACGUCCUGUCUCGCAAGAGGCAGGGAGUGGCGGACGGGUGAGUACCACGUGGGUCAUCUACCGUGAGGUGAGGAAUACCGGCGAGAAAUCGCCGACAAGACCGCAUAGGCUCGAUGCAAGUCGAGCAAAGCUCUUUCGAGAGAGGGAGCGCCACACGAGGAGCCUGCGCCCGAUUAGCUAGCUGGUGGAGUAACGGUUCACCAGGGCGACGAUCGGUAGCUGGUCUGAGAGGACGAUCAGCCACACUGGGAUUGAGAACGGCCCAGACUCCUACGGGGGGCAGCAGUGAGGAAUUUCGUCAAUGGGGGCAACCCUGAACGAGCAACGCCGCGUGCAGGAAGAAGGUUUCGGAUCGUAAACUGCUUUUCUCGGGAAGAGAAUGGACGGUACCCGAGGAAUCAGCCCCGGCUAACUACGUGCCAGCAGCCGCGGU
This 473-nucleotide ribosomal RNA is filed under the name uncultured bacterium. RNAcentral describes it as "SSU rRNA". It matches the Rfam family "Bacterial small subunit ribosomal RNA", at positions 26 to 521 of the family's 1533-position model. The record is from RNAcentral.